RNAcentral lists this ribosomal RNA (253 nucleotides) under uncultured bacterium. RNAcentral's name for it is "partial 16S ribosomal RNA". It matches the Rfam family "Bacterial small subunit ribosomal RNA", at positions 524 to 776 of the family's 1533-position model. The record is from RNAcentral.
UACGUAGGGGGCAAGCGUUGUCCGGAUUUAUUGGGCGUAAAGGGCGCGUAGGUGGUUGUGUAAGUAACGUGUGAAAUCCCUCGGCUUACCCGGGGAAUUGCAUGUUAUACUGCAUGACUUGAGGAUCAGAGGGGAAUGGGGAACUCCAGGUGUAGCGGUGAAAUGCGCAGAUAUCUGGGGGAAGGCCGGCGGCGAAGGCGCCAUUCUGGCUGAUUCCUGACACUGAGGCGCGAAAGCGUGGGGAGCAAACAGG